UUGGUUUACAGCAGGCUCUGAGCAGCUGACCCUGAGGACGUGACUGCCACAGGAGUAGGUGUGGCCCAGCCUGGAGGAGAGCUUGCGGGACCACAGGGAGCAGCCUGUAACUCAACACCCUGUGUCCUCAGUGCUUCCUUCCCCAGAUGGAUCCUUCCUGAGAUUGUCUCCACUCUUUACCCAGGGACUUCAUAAUUGUAUGGAUUCUCUAGGUCAGCAAGCUGGCGGAUGGCAGAAUAGUAAAGGAUUUCAAAUAAUGUAGUGAAGAUUGGAGAGCUGCAAAAUAUAGAACAUCACUUGGAUGGAAAACUAGGAAAAGCAAGUG
Molecule: long non-coding RNA, 325 nt
Filed under: Melopsittacus undulatus (budgerigar)
Lineage: Eukaryota; Metazoa; Chordata; Aves; Psittaciformes; Psittaculidae
Description: lncRNA (ENSMUNG00000018091.1)
Source: RNAcentral